AUGGCCCCAAAAUGUCCCAAAAAUAUCCCCAAAUGUCCCCAGAUGUCCCCACCUGCCAUCCGUGUCCGGCUCCAGCCGCGGCCUCUUUGUCCCCGUCCCCGUCCCCGUCCCCUCCCCCGGACGCUUCCGAUGUCCCCAAAGUGUCCCCAAGUUGGCGGCGGUGGCACCCGGACGGAUGUCCCCAAGGUGGUGGCCUUGACCGAUGUCCCCAAGGUGGUGGCUUCGAUCAAUGUCCCCAAGAUGGUGGCUCUUCAUGAUGUCCCCAAGGUGGUGGCCCUGAGUGAUGUCCCCAAGCCGAUGACCUCCAUCAAUGUCCUCAAGUUGGUGACUUUGACCAAUGUCCCCGAGGUGGUGGCCUCGAUUGAUGUCCCCAAGGUGGUGACCUCCAUCAAUGUCCCCAAGCCGAUGACGUUGAUCAAUGUCCCCAAGCCGAUGGCUCUUCAUGAUGUCCCCAAGCCGAUGACCUUGACCAAUGUCCCCAAGAUGGUGGCCUUGAUCAAUGUCCCCAAGGUGGUGGCCCUGAGUGAUGUCCCCAACUUGGUGGCUCUGCCUGAUGUCCCCAAGCCGGUGGCUUUGACCAAUGUCCCCAAACCGAUGACCCCGAUCAAUGUCCCCAACUUGGUGGCCCUGCCCAAUGUCCCCAAGCCGAUGACCUCCAUCAAUGUCCCCAAGCCGAUGACCUUGACCAAAGUCCACAACUUGGUGGCCUCCAUCAAUGUCCCCAAGAUGUUGGCCCUUGAGGAUGUCCCCAACUUGAUUGCUCUUGGUGAUGUCCCCAACCUGGUGGCCCUCCCCGUUGUCCCCAAGCCGAUGACUUUGAUUGAUGUCCCCAAGGUGGUGGCCUCGGUCAAUGUCCCCAAGGUGGUGGCCCUUGAGGAUGUCCCCAAGGUGGUGGCUUUGAUCAAUGUCCCCAACUUGGUGGCCUCCAUCAAUGUCCCCAAAUUGGUGACUCUUCACGAUGUCCCCAAGGUGGUGGCCCUGAGUGAUGUCCCCAAGCCGAUGACCCCGAUCAAUGUCCCCAACUUGGUGACUCUUGGUGAUGUCCCCAAGUUGAUGGCCCCGAUCAAUGUCCCCAAGAUGGCGGCUCUUCAUGAUGUCCCCAAGGUGGUGGCCAUGCCUGAUGUCCCCAACUUGGUGGCCUCCAUCAAUGUCCCCAACUUGGUGGCUCUGCCCGAUGUCCCCAAGCCGGUGACGUCCAUCAAUGUCCCCAACUUGGUGACCUCGAUCAAUGUCCCCAAGCCGGUGGCUUUGACCAAUGUCCCCAUGGUGAUAACCUCGAUCAAUGUCCCCAACUUGGUGACACUUGAGGAUGUCCCCAACCCGGUGGCUCUUGGUGAUGUCCCCAACUUGAUGGCUUUGAUCAAUGUCCCCAAGAUGAUGACCUUGAUCAAUGUCCCCAAGGUGGUGACCUCCAUCAAUGUCCCCAAGCCGAUGAUGUUGAUCAAUGUCCCCAAUUUGGUGGCCCUUGAGGAUGUCCCCAACUUGAUGACUCUUGGUGAUGUCCCCAAGCCGAUGGCUUUGACCGAUGUCCUCAAGGUGGUGGCUCUUCAUGAUGUCCCCAAGCUGAUGACCUUGACCAAUGUCCCCAAGUUGAUGGCUCUUGGUGAUGUCCCCAAGCCGGUGGCUUUGACCAAUGUCCCCAUGGUGAUAACCUCGAUCAAUGUCCCCAACUUGGUGACCUCCAUCAAUGUCCCGAAGAUGGUGGCCUUGACCGAUGUCCCCAAGCCGAUGGCCUCCAUCAAUGUCCCCAACUUGGUGGCCUCCAUCAAUGUCCCAAAGAUGGUGGCCCUGACCGAUGUCCCCAACUUGGUGGCUCUUCACAAUGUCCCCAACCCGAUGACUUUGACCAAUGUCCCCAACGUGGUGGCUUUGAUCAAUGUCCCCAACUUGAUGACUCCUGAGGAUGUCCCCAAGGUGGUGGCCCUCCCUGAUGUCCCCAACCCGGUGGCUUUGACCGACGUCCCCACCCCGCCGUCCCCUCCAGGUGCCACCGCUGUCCCCGUCCCCGGUGCCACCGCGCAGGACGAACUCCACGAUGUCGGCCGGGAGCCCCUCGGCGCUCGGUGGCAUUGGUGACACCUCUGGUGGCACCUCUGGUGGCAUUGGUGGCACCUCUGGUGGCACCGUCCCCCUGGUGGCAUCAUCAGCACCGUCCACUUGGCAGAUUUGGGGACAAGGUGACAACGGUGACAAUGCCACCGCCGGUGCCACCACGGUGCGGGCGUAGCCGAAAUAACGUCCCCGUCCCCGUGGUGGCAUUGUCACCGCGGUGGUGGCACUGUCACCGUCGUCGUCGUCGCUGGUGUCACCUCGCGGGGAUCUGUGGGACAAUGAGGUGACAAUGAGGUGACACUGAGGUGACAAUGAGGUGACAAUAAAGUGACAAUUCGGUGACACUGAGGUGACAAUGAGGUGACACUGAGGUGACAAUGAGGUGACAAUAAGGUGACACUGAGGUGACAAU
This is a long non-coding RNA of Taeniopygia guttata (zebra finch), 2464 nucleotides long. The record is from Ensembl. NCBI's taxonomy places the organism in Eukaryota, Metazoa, Chordata, Aves, Passeriformes, Estrildidae.